Molecule: ribosomal RNA, 397 nt
Filed under: uncultured bacterium
Lineage: Bacteria
Description: bacterial SSU rRNA
Rfam family: Bacterial small subunit ribosomal RNA
Source: RNAcentral
GACCGGACCCUUCGGGGUUAGUGCCGGACGGGUGAGUAACACGUGGGAACGUGCCCUUAGCUUCGGAACAACCCAGGGAAACUUGGGCUAAUACCGGAUAUGCCCUUCGGGGGAAAGAUUUAUCGGCUUUGGAACGGCCCGCGUCUGAUUAGCUAGUUGGUGGGGUAAUGGCCUACCAAGCCGACGAUCAGUAGCUGGUCUGAGAGAAUGACCAGCCACAUUGGGACUGAGACACGGCCCAAACUCCUACGGGAGGCAGCAGUGGGGAAUCUUGCGCAAUGGGCGAAAGCCUGACGCAGCCAUGCCGCGUGGAUGAUGAAGGUCUUAGGAUUGUCAAAUCCUUUCAGCGGGGACGAUAAUGACGGUAUCCGCAGAAGAAGCCCCGGCUAACUUCGUG